UCCUCCGGUUCAGCCAGACCUGGUCUAACUUCAGGUGUUUCUGGGCACAGAAAAGCGUAUUAAAGUGAGCUGAAGAGCAGGUGUGGGUAGACGUCGUGGUGUGUGAAAAGACGUUCAUUUCACAGGUCAGUUAACUGUUUUAGUUUGGCAUAAAGACUUUAAGCUAAUCCACACAAUCUCAUAAAUCUAAUAAUAUUCAAAUUUCCUGUUUGGACUAUCUGAGCUUUAUUUUGGAGACCAGAAAUCCCCUUUAGCUUCUCUGUCAUAACUUGGAGGAGAUACGUCAGCGUAAAAGCUACAGCCUGUCAGCCGAGAGGGGACUUUGUGAAAGUGAUACCUACUCCUCUGGAACUGUCCAACCCAACCAAGCGAGACAUUUUAAGCAUCUUAGCUCUAAAAUAUUUGAGUUUAAGCUAAAAAAGGAUUUGUCCCUGUCUCCUUGUCUUCAGAUCAUUCAUCCUGAGCCAUUCUCAGUCUUCUUUUAUUUAUUUUUUUUGUCUUAAAUGGAGCCAAGACAAGUGUUAGCAGGCCCAGGAGGACAAGUUUGAUGGGCUACUUUUAAUAGUUUUCUUUUCUCUGCAGACAUGUCAAGGGAAAGAAGUCACUCAUUUUUCCAGCUUAAUCUGGGAUAAAGAGGUCAUAUCAAGUUCUCAAGGAGCAGCAAGCAGCUGCGAUCGUAUCGACAAGACGGUGCAAAGUGAUGACAUAUCUGCAGAUUCAGCCUGCCUAACAAGACGUGUGUCACGGGUGACUGAGGACACGCAGCUGCGUGUUCAUCUCAUCAUCUGUAGCAUUGACAAAACUAACGCUCAGUCACUUGUUUUUUAUUCGAGACACAAAUGUGUCAGAAAUGGACCUGUUGUUGCGUCAAACUACAGUAGAAAACAUAAAUAACCGAUUUCAAAAGAAUGCAGACCUUAGGACAAAUAAAAGGAGUGUUUACAAGUUUAUGCUAGGCUGCAACCAACAAACUUUAUAACUUGAAAAAAUGUAACAAACAUUUUGUGUCUCUGCAUAUUUUAAAUGCAUAUUUUAAAUUUUUUCUGUUAAUUUCUCCUGUUGCGUUCAAUACUUGAAACACUUCUUUGGUUCUUAUUUUGAACUUGAACAAGGAGGCUAUUCAGCAGAGGAGGCCGUUUUCCAAAAACAUUUGAAGAUAUGAAUGAGGUCAGAUAUUUCCAAUUAAAGAUUUUGUAAGUACUUGCCUUAAAACGGGUGUAUUUAAACUCACAAGGCAAUCUUUUAUCUAUUAUUUUCCAUAUCUUUAUUUUUAAUUAAAGAGCCACAAUUUAUCAUGUGAUAAAUGUGAGUUUUGCAUUCAAAAGUCAGAUUUUAAAGGUGAACUUUAACUUUAUGUUUGACUGGCAGCUUAGGUGUAAAUUAACCACAACAUUCCUGCAACCUGACAUGACUCGCAUGCAUGCUGAGCUGGCUACAGAGGAGCGUGACUGCGCUUCGUUACCACGACAGACAAAAUACACACCUGAGAGUGAACUCCGGUCUUUUUGGUGGGAGUUCACCCACAACACGGCUAUCGUGCAGGUAUGGGAGAUAUGGGAGGGAAGGAUAAUGGUUACGGCUCUGGAGCUUUCAAUAUUUAACAAACGCUUGAUUUUGCUUUACAUUGUUUUGAACUUAGACAAAAUUAUAAUUUUAACAAGGAAAAGUAAUUUCUCUUAAAAAUGUGUUGAAAAAGUAAAUGUUGUCUUUGAAGUGCUGUACUGCAAAUAAACUUUUAUUGACUUUUUA
This is a long non-coding RNA of Nothobranchius furzeri (turquoise killifish), 1749 nucleotides long. RefSeq lists it as uncharacterized. The record is from RefSeq and is a predicted model, not a curated record. Lineage: Eukaryota; Metazoa; Chordata; Actinopteri; Cyprinodontiformes; Nothobranchiidae.